CUUCCUCUCUCCCUGCUCUUCUGUCCCUCACGCUCCCCUCCCCUCCCCUCUCUUCUGUGCGCUGUUUCUCUCCUUUCUGUUUCUUUUUCCCAUAAUCAACUUGGUCAUUUUCAUCAGAAUUAUCAUCUUUUUUCUGUCAUCACCUCCACCGUUUAUCCUGUAAUUAUAAGGGAUAUGUUAUUUAAUUUGAUGAUUUCUUCUUUGUUACUAUUUAUCAUUAAUAAUUAAUUUAUAAUGUUACAGAUCAAUGCAGUCAGGUCCAGAGGGGUGUGUGCCAGGGGCAGGAGCGAGGCGGUGCUGCUCGGGGUGGACACGGAGCUGUGACGACGCUGAAUCCCUCGUCCAGGCAGCCCGUCCGUGUCAGCUCGCCAUGGCUUCGAGGACGCGCAUUCCUGGCCCUCUCUGGCAGCGACCCCCUGGGUCCCGACACAGCCACCCUCAUGUUCACUUGAAGUGAAAAAAGAUGUUUGGUGAAAUUACUGCAGCCUGGAGCCAAACAACUAACACCAUCUUUAGUUUUGUUUAUUGUAAUAAAAUGUGUUAAUGAAAAAGUGCAAAGAUAGAUAAUAGAAAUUAGUGUACUGUGACAUAAAAUUUUGCUUGAAAAUCAAGGCAAGUACAGUAAAAGCUAAUAUGUUUAAAUGAGCAUUGCAUAAUGUAUAUCUAACAACUAUAAAAAUCAUUUUUAUUGAAGUAUAUCUGCAAAUCAUACAACAUGAAAAAUGACAGCAAUAUGCUUGAGACAGACUAAGUCUAGUCUAUGGAAAUAAAUUUUGAUCAGUAUUUAAAAUUUAUUCUGGAUAAUCACAGGAAACGGGAGUUUAAAAGUUUCUGCACAUACUCUAUUUUUUCCUGUUUGUAUCCAAGUAUCAUUAAAUCUAACUCUAGUAUUGUAAAUUAUUAUAC
This is a long non-coding RNA of Talpa occidentalis (Iberian mole), 906 nucleotides long. RefSeq lists it as uncharacterized. The transcript has 3 exons. NCBI's taxonomy places the organism in Eukaryota, Metazoa, Chordata, Mammalia, Eulipotyphla, Talpidae. The record is from RefSeq and is a predicted model, not a curated record.